UACAGGGGGUGCAAACGUUGCUCGGAAUCAUUGGGCGUAAAGCGCACGUAGGCGGUUCGUUAUGUCGGAUGUGAAAGCCCUUGGCUUAACCGAGGAAGUGCAUCCGAAACUGGCGAGCUAGAGUACGAAAGAGGAUCGCGGAAUUCCCGGUGUAGAGGUGAAAUUCGUAGAUAUCGGGAGGAACACCGGUGGCGAAGGCGGUGGCCUGGACCUAUGCUGACGCUGAGGCGCGAAAGCGUGGGGAGCGAUCCGG
RNAcentral lists this ribosomal RNA (253 nucleotides) under uncultured bacterium. RNAcentral's name for it is "partial 16S ribosomal RNA". It matches the Rfam family "Bacterial small subunit ribosomal RNA", at positions 524 to 776 of the family's 1533-position model. The record is from RNAcentral.